This 368-nucleotide long non-coding RNA is filed under the name Zea mays. Its description in RNAcentral is "long non-coding RNA (ZMAY_LNC001972)". Lineage: Eukaryota; Viridiplantae; Streptophyta; Magnoliopsida; Poales; Poaceae. The record is from RNAcentral.
GGCUUCAUUCAUGCUAAUCUGACUGCUUAGAGAUGGUCUCCUUUCAACAAUACUUUCACUUGUUUUUGAGUUUUCCUCGGUGGCACUAUGAUCUUGAAGUACUUCACCACUCGAUCUUAGGGUAAUGCUAAUCUGACUGCUUAGAGAUGGUCUCCUUUCAACAAUACUUUCACUUGUUUUUGGGUUUUCCUCGGUGGCACUAUGAUCUUGAAGUACUUCACCACUUGAUCUUAGGGUAAUGCUAAUCUGACUGCUUAGAGAUGGUCUCCUUUCAACAAUGCUGUCAAUUGUUUUUGGGUUUUCCUCGGUGGCACUAUGAUCUUGAGGUACUUCACCGCUCGAUCUCAUGGUAGUUGUUGAUACAUGAG